RNAcentral lists this ribosomal RNA (2916 nucleotides) under Vibrio parahaemolyticus. RNAcentral describes it as "23S ribosomal RNA". It matches the Rfam family "Bacterial large subunit ribosomal RNA". The record is from RNAcentral. Lineage: Bacteria; Pseudomonadati; Pseudomonadota; Gammaproteobacteria; Vibrionales; Vibrionaceae.
GUUGUAUGGUUAAGUGACUAAGCGUACACGGUGGAUGCCUUGGCAGUCAGAGGCGAUGAAAGACGUAGUAACUUGCGAUAAGCCCAGAUUAGGUAGUAACAACCAUUUGAGUCUGGGAUUUCUGAAUGGGGAAACCCACGUGCAUAAGCACGUAUCCUUACCUGAAUACAUAGGGUAAGGAGGCGAACCGGGGGAACUGAAACAUCUAAGUACCCCGAGGAAAAGAAAUCAACCGAGAUUCCGAAAGUAGCGGCGAGCGAAAUUGGACUAGCCCUUAAGCUUUACACGCGUUAGACGAACGGUCUGGAAAGUCCGACGAUACAGGGUGAUAGUCCCGUAGUUGACGACGUGUGUUCAGUGAAAUCGAGUAGGGCGGGACACGUGAUAUCCUGUCUGAAUAUGGGGGGACCAUCCUCCAAGGCUAAAUACUACUGACUGACCGAUAGUGAACCAGUACCGUGAGGGAAAGGCGAAAAGAACCCCUGUGAGGGGAGUGAAAUAGAACCUGAAACCGUGUACGUACAAGCAGUAGGAGCAGGCUUUGUCCUGUGACUGCGUACCUUUUGUAUAAUGGGUCAGCGACUUAUAUUCAGUGGCAAGGUUAACCAUCUAGGGGAGCCGUAGGGAAACCGAGUCUUAACUGGGCGUUCAGUCUCUGGAUAUAGACCCGAAACCAGGUGAUCUAGCCAUGGGCAGGUUGAAGGUUGAGUAACAUCAACUGGAGGACCGAACCGACUAAUGUUGAAAAAUUAGCGGAUGACUUGUGGCUAGGGGUGAAAGGCCAAUCAAACCUGGAGAUAGCUGGUUCUCCCCGAAAGCUAUUUAGGUAGCGCCUCGGACGAAUACUACUGGGGGUAGAGCACUGUUAAGGCUAGGGGGUCAUCCCGACUUACCAACCCUUUGCAAACUCCGAAUACCAGUAAGUACUAUCCGGGAGACACACGGCGGGUGCUAACGUCCGUCGUGGAGAGGGAAACAACCCAGACCGCCAGCUAAGGUCCCAAAUUACUACUAAGUGGGAAACGAUGUGGGAAGGCUCAGACAGCCAGGAUGUUGGCUUAGAAGCAGCCAUCAUUUAAAGAAAGCGUAAUAGCUCACUGGUCGAGUCGGCCUGCGCGGAAGAUGUAACGGGGCUAAGUAGUAAACCGAAGCUGCGGCAAUAUACUUUUGUAUAUUGGGUAGGGGAGCGUUCUGUAAGCGGUUGAAGGUGUGUGGUAACGCAUGCUGGACGUAUCAGAAGUGCGAAUGCUGACAUGAGUAACGAUAAAGGGGGUGAAAAACCUCCUCGCCGGAAGACCAAGGGUUCCUGUCCAACGUUAAUCGGGGCAGGGUAAGUCGACCCCUAAGGCGAGGCCGAAAGGCGUAGUCGAUGGGAAACGGGUUAAUAUUCCCGUACUUCUUACAAUUGCGAUGGGGGGACGGAGAAGGCUAGGUGGGCCUGGCGACGGUUGUCCAGGUUCAAGUGCGUAGGCUUGAGAGUUAGGUAAAUCCGGCUCUUUUUAAGGCUGAGACACGACGUCGAGCACCUACGGGUGUGAAGUCAUUGAUGCCAUGCUUCCAGGAAAAGCCUCUAAGCUUCAGAUUGUAAGGAAUCGUACCCCAAACCGACACAGGUGGUCGGGUAGAGAAUACCAAGGCGCUUGAGAGAACUCGGGUGAAGGAACUAGGCAAAAUGGUACCGUAACUUCGGGAGAAGGUACGCUCUUGAUGGUGAAGUCCCUUGCGGAUGGAGCUGACGAGAGUCGCAGAUACCAGGUGGCUGCAACUGUUUAUUAAAAACACAGCACUGUGCAAAAUCGUAAGAUGACGUAUACGGUGUGACGCCUGCCCGGUGCCGGAAGGUUAAUUGAUGGGGUUAGACUUCGGUCGAAGCUCUUGAUCGAAGCCCCGGUAAACGGCGGCCGUAACUAUAACGGUCCUAAGGUAGCGAAAUUCCUUGUCGGGUAAGUUCCGACCUGCACGAAUGGCGUAAUGAUGGCCACGCUGUCUCCACCCGAGACUCAGUGAAAUUGAAAUCGCUGUGAAGAUGCAGUGUACCCGCGGCUAGACGGAAAGACCCCGUGAACCUUUACUACAGCUUGGCACUGAACAUUGACCCUACAUGUGUAGGAUAGGUGGGAGGCUUUGAAGCACGUACGCCAGUAUGUGUGGAGCCGUCCUUGAAAUACCACCCUUGUAGUGUUGAUGUUCUAACGUCGACCCCUUAUCGGGGUUGCGGACAGUGCCUGGUGGGUAGUUUGACUGGGGCGGUCUCCUCCCAAAGAGUAACGGAGGAGCACGAAGGUGGGCUAAUCACGGUUGGACAUCGUGAGGUUAGUGCAAUGGCAUAAGCCCGCUUGACUGCGAGAAUGACAAUUCGAGCAGGUGCGAAAGCAGGUCAUAGUGAUCCGGUGGUUCUGAAUGGAAGGGCCAUCGCUCAACGGAUAAAAGGUACUCCGGGGAUAACAGGCUGAUACCGCCCAAGAGUUCAUAUCGACGGCGGUGUUUGGCACCUCGAUGUCGGCUCAUCACAUCCUGGGGCUGAAGUCGGUCCCAAGGGUAUGGCUGUUCGCCAUUUAAAGUGGUACGCGAGCUGGGUUUAGAACGUCGUGAGACAGUUCGGUCCCUAUCUGCCGUGGGCGUUGGAAGAUUGAAGGGGGCUGCUCCUAGUACGAGAGGACCGGAGUGGACGAACCUCUGGUGUUCGGGUUGUGUCGCCAGACGCAUUGCCCGGUAGCUAAGUUCGGAAUCGAUAACCGCUGAAAGCAUCUAAGCGGGAAGCGAGCCCUGAGAUGAGUCUUCCCUGAUACUUUAAGUAUCCUAAAGGGUUGUCGGAGACUACGACGUUGAUAGGUCAGGUGUGUAAGUGCUGUGAGGCAUUGAGCUAACUGAUACUAAUUGCCCGUGAGGCUUAACCAUACAACACCCAAGGGGUUU